This 220-nucleotide ribosomal RNA is filed under the name uncultured bacterium. RNAcentral describes it as "partial 16S ribosomal RNA". It matches the Rfam family "Bacterial small subunit ribosomal RNA", at positions 57 to 305 of the family's 1533-position model. The record is from RNAcentral.
GCAAGUCGAGCGCGCCCUUCGGGGUGAGCGGCGGACGGGUGAGUAACGCGUGGGAAUAUGCCCUUCUCUAAGGAAUAGCCUCUGGAAACGGAGAGUAAUACCUUAUACGCCCUAUGGGGGAAAGAUUUAUCGCCGAGAGAUUGGCCCGCGUUAGAUUAGAUAGUUGGUGGGGUAAUGGCCUACCAAGUCUACGAUCUAUAGCUGGUUUUAGAGGAUGAUC